Molecule: ribosomal RNA, 468 nt
Filed under: uncultured bacterium
Lineage: Bacteria
Description: partial 16S ribosomal RNA
Rfam family: Bacterial small subunit ribosomal RNA
Source: RNAcentral
GAUGAACGCUGGCGGCGUGCUUAAUACAUGCAAGUCGAACGGAAAGGCCCUGCUUUUGUGGGGUGCUUGAGUGGCGAACGGGUGAGUAACACGCGAGUAAACUGCCCUUGACUUUGGGAUAACUUUUGGAAACUGGGGCUAAUACCGGAUAGGAGCUCCUGCUGCAUGGUGGGGGUUGGAAAGAUUCGGCGGUUCGGGAUAGACUCGCGGCUUACCAGCUUGUUGGUGGGGUAGUGGCUUACCAAGGGUUUGACGGGUAGCCGGCCUGAGAGGGUGACCGGGCACAAUGGGACUAAGAUACGGCCCAGACUCCUACGUGAGGCAGCGGUGGAGAAUAUUGCACAGUGGGGGGAAGCCUGAUGCAGCAACGCCGGGUGCGGGAUAACGUGCUUCGAGUUGUAAACCGAUUUCGCCUGUGACGAAGAGUGAGUGACGGUAAUGAGUAAGGAAGCACCGGCUAACUACGUG